Molecule: ribosomal RNA, 237 nt
Filed under: uncultured Lactobacillus sp.
Lineage: Bacteria; Bacillati; Bacillota; Bacilli; Lactobacillales; Lactobacillaceae
Description: partial 16S ribosomal RNA
Rfam family: Bacterial small subunit ribosomal RNA
Source: RNAcentral
CCUGCCCAAGAGAUCGGGAUAACACCUGGAAACAGAUGCUAAUACCGGAUAACAACAGAUGAUGCCUAUCAACUGUUUAAAAGAUGGUUCUGCUAUCACUCUUGGAUGGACCUGCGGUGCAUUAGCUAGUUGGUAGGGUAACGGCCUACCAAGGCGAUGAUGCAUAGCCGAGUUGAGAUACUGAUCGGCCACAUUGGGACUGAGACACGGCCCAAACUCCUACGGGAGGCAGCAGCA